Molecule: RNA transcript, 864 nt
Organism: Macaca mulatta (Rhesus monkey)
Lineage: Eukaryota; Metazoa; Chordata; Mammalia; Primates; Cercopithecidae
Gene name: sialic acid-binding Ig-like lectin 11
Source: RefSeq, a predicted model, not a curated record
CGUGGAAGACAGUGAUACUGAUGAUCCUGACCCUGUGCAGGGUCAGCAGCAUGAAUGCUCAGCAGGCAGCUCCCAAGACCACCUGCCCCCAGGUGCAGCCACCCCCACCCCAGGGCAGGGGGAAGAGCGGGAGCCCCACUAUGCCUCCCUCAGCUUCCAGGGCCUGAGGCUCCGGGAGCCUGAGGACCAGGAGGCCCCCAGCAGCACCGAGUACUCAGCGAUCAAGAUCCACAAGAGGCGGCCCCCGAAGGGCUCGGGAUUUGGUUGGAGAGGGAGACGUCAGGGAUGGUUCCGAGGUGAAGAGUGCUCCAUGGAAACAGGACACCAGCAAGUGUGUGGGAGUCGUGCUGGUGUGACAGCCAGAACUGGACUCAGAUUUCAGCCCCAUCCUGAGACUAAUAGUUUGAGCAAGUUACUUUACUCCUCACUUUCCUCCUCUGCGCUGUGGACACAGUCAGCCUAACUCACAGGGUUCUUGUGAGGCAUAAGGAAGUAAUUAACAUAAAGCAUCCAUCAGAGGCGAGUCUCAUCUGAGUCAUGCCUCUUCCCAGGGCAGCCCAUGAUGUGGGCUGUCCACCCUGGUCCAAACCGAGACCCUUCUGCAGGGCAGGUCCAGCUUCAGAGCUCCCUGAAGCCUUGGGUGGGGCUGUCCUUGGGCCGCAUCGGAGCUUGAUUCUCUCUCUGUCGUUCCCGCUCCCCCCACUCCCACACCCAACACUCCCGGAUCCCGGGGCAGCCUACACAUCCCUGCAGGCUGCUCUCCGCCUCAGAGCCCGCUUCCUGGGACCUCAACCUCCGUAUUUGACCAGACACAGAUAAUCAUCCAUUAUUUAUCUGAAAUAAAUUAUAAAUGUGUGAAUCACA